UUUAGACAAACAGGAUUUCAUAGAUGCACAUAGCGUCCACGCAUCUUCUCUCCCACUUACAAUUUCACACGGCCGCAGCUACUUUUUCCCGAUCCCCUUUCUCCUUUGCUCCGUUGACUCCAAAAUUGCUGCCACCAGAUGAGCUUGGUCGUCCUCACCAGCAGCCGCGGCAGUGGGCGACUCGUUUGUGCUGCCGCAGGGUGACCAUCUAUGGCGGCUGGUUUGGCUCGUACAACUCCUUGGUCUCCUAGCAGGGUCCAAGGAGCAGCUGCGCAAGGGAGUAUGCGAAAUCAUGGUGUCCGUGCGGUUGAUUUUGGCGUGUAUUUCGUCUCCCGCAGCUAGAUUGGAUCCAACUGGAGUAAUAGGAUGCAGGCAACGUUGUGUUCCCCAGUUGCGAGGCAGACACAUCAUUUCUAUUCCCGCUCGAUGCAGCCCGGCACGUCGUCGUCAUCCUCCACGGCCUCAGCAUUCUUCCAAGUUUGAACUUCAACUUGCAGGUCCCCUUCUUUCACUUUUCCCCACUCGUCAUAUUUAUAAUAUAAUUUAGAAAAUGUUUGUUAGUGGAGAAUGUUUCUUCAUUUUCCUUUAAAUCUUGGGGAAAUAUGUAAUUCUUUUUUUAAAGUUAUCUAGAUGUGUUUAAUUAGGUGCGUACUGCUAAGUUUGUGACACUUUAAAAAAUGUAAGUAUACGUCUGAGUACAUAUGAAAUAUAACCAUGUCUCGAUGCUCUCACUAUUGGUUUCCACUAAAUGAUAAGCAUGAAGAAUAAGAUAUCACACAAUAGAGAUUGUCGAUGUUUUGUUGUAGAGCAUAUUCAGCCUGCCAUAUUAUGUUAGCAUAGUGUAGUCACUUUGCAUUUUUAGGGUAUAGUUUGCAGUAUGCUAAAUUUUUAUAUAUGCAAUUUUUAUGUAAUGGAGUAGGUCAGUAGCCUGAGCUAGUGAAAGAAGCGUCAUGCUGACAGUGCAUUAUUUGUUAAUACCUUUAGAAUAUUUCUUUAUAGACUAUGUUCUUGGCCACAUCAUCCUCAUUGAUAUCUUCAUCAUUUACCAUUACUCAUAUACUAUUUCUCCCACAAUGUGUUCUUGAUAUUAUCUGUUCUUCGAUGAAUUUUCUUCUGCAUGAGGUCAUGUUGUUAUCCAUUUAUCAUUUAUCUUUUACUGUACUUUUUAUGAUCAGCCGCGUUAUGCAAAAUUAUUCUGUAUCCUUUUUUUGGGCAUUUUUACCAUGUUGCUUUGUACUUCCUCUGUCCCAGAAUAUAAGAACGUUUUUGACACUAUGCUAGUGUUAGAAACGUUCUUAUAUUUUGGGACGGAGGGAGUAAUAUAUAUUUUUCUUUAGAAGAGUUACAAACAAUAUUAAAACCUGAAAACAGAUGACACAUUAGACAUGGGCAGCUAUUGAUUUUUUUUGAAAGAUCCAGCAUUGCUGGCUUUUCAUAUUAAUCAUAGCAGAGAGCAGUGGAUAACCGAAUACAUGGUGGUGAUUCUAGGAUCAGAGAAAAAACAUAUAAAAGAGACUCAACUACAACUACGGGAAGGGGGAAACAGCUGGAGGGGUUUUAACCGAUCCCCUCUGGCGGCAAAGUGAACGGGUGCAGUAAACAAGUUGCUCUGGCCUGCCUCCAUAGAUCGAUGCCUCGUCUGAUGGCCUGCAGCACGUUUCGCAUAGAUGCCUUGUUGUUUCUGAAUGUGCAGUCGUUUCGGUGCCUCCAGAUUUCCCAGACAGCUAACAUCGUCAGCGAUUUGAUGCCCUUUCUGAAUUCAGGUUUUGUGCCCUCCACAAUCUUCAUGACCCGAUCAGCACCGCUGGGGAGAUCGCGGCCAGGUUGCAAACUCAGGGCCGCACAGCCGUUCCAGGAUGACAGACUGCUCCAGAUUGUCCUUGUGAAGGGGCAUGGCCAAAAGAUGUGGUCGGCUGUCUCGAGGUUUCUGAAGCAUAAUUGGCAGAAAUAAGAGUUCGGCCAACCUCGUCGCUGCAGCCGGUCAUUGCACCAUGGUCUGUUUAGCAGGAUUAACCAAUAGAAGACCUUCAGCUUUCCCGGCGCCCAAGUCUUCCAAAUGAUCUGCGUAAAAGCAGAGGUGUGGUUCGCCUGAAACUGUGCCCGAUAAGCUGAUGAAGCAGUGUAGCAGCCGCUAGCCUCCAGGUUCCAUCUGAUCUCAUCACUUGUAUCUGUAUUGAGGUUGAGUGACGCCGAUCGCAGGAGCCUCGCCAGGGCCACGCAGUCACAUACGAUCUGAUCAGUCUGCCCGUGCGCCAAGUCGAGGAUCCAGCGAUCAUCUCGUAGGGCAUCGGCGAUCGUCCUGUUCUUUCUCCUUGAGUGUUUAUACAGCGCCAGAAAAAGUAGUUGGAGCGUGCCCGCCUGGAGCCAAGAGCAAAUCCAAAACCUGGCCGUCCGGCCGUUGCCGACCGUGACCGAGGUAGCCGCGCUGAAGAACAGCCUGUCAGAUUCAGAGCACGGGGCCUCCAUGCCCGCCCAUGGCCUGUCCGGGUGCUUCCAGGACAGCCAUAGCCAUCUUUGCCGCAAGGCCCGGUCGAAGCGCUCAGGGUUGAGGACGCCGAGCCCCUCUCUGUCCAGCUGGGAACACACCUUGGUCCAGUUCACCUUGCAUUUGCCCCCAGACAGCUCUUCCUCUUGCGCCCACAGAAAACGGCGCCUCACUUUGUCGAUUUCCUUGAAAAAGUUCUUUGGCAUAAGGAGUACGGUCAUGGCAAAGGUUGGGAUGGCAGUCAACACAGCUCUGACUAGCACCCGCCGUCCAGCAAUGGUCAUUAGCCUGCCCUUCCAGCCUGCCAGUCUUGCUCUGAUCCGAUCCAAAAUGAACUAGAGAUGCACUAGCCUUGUUCUUGUCAGGGUGAUCGGGAGGCCCAAAUACUUGAGCGGGAAGGUGGUGAUGGUGCCCCCAAAACUCUGUAGGAUCUGCUAGAUGUCAAUACUGUCGCAUCGAAUUGGGGUUGCUGUUGAUUUAUGUCUGUUGAUCUUCAGCCCCGUUGCCUCGCCAAACAUGUUCAGAAUGGUGAUCAGCGCCUCCAUCUCAUCUCUGGCGGGGUUCAUGAAGACGACCGCAUCAUCAGCGUAGAGGCUGACUCUUAGUUUCAGCUCCCUCCUCGGCAACGGCUGCAUCAUCUGUUGCUAGACGGCCUCAUCUAUCAGACGUUGCAGUGGAUCGAUUGCCAGGAUGAAAAGCAGUGGAGAUAGUGGGUUGCCCUGACGAAGACCUUUGCGAUGCUGAAUUUUGCUCCCUGGCGCACCAUUGAGGAGGAAUUCAGAGCGAGAGGUUGACAGCAGCCACGCAAUCCAAUCUCUCCAUCUGGCACUGAACCCAAGUUCCUCCAGCAGGUAGUCCCAAGACACGCUAUCAAAUGCUUUUGAGAUGUCCAAUUUCAGUAGCAAUGCCGGAGUUUUGCUACGGUGCAGUGCUCGGACUCCAUUCUGAACAUACAAGAAACUGUCUUGUAUACACCUCGUCUUCACGAAGGCUGACUGCUCAGGGGAGACGAUCGUGUGAAUCACUUUUGACAGCCGGAUUGACAACACCUUGGUGACCAUCUUCGCAAACGAGUGGAUCAGACUGAUUGGGCGAAAGUCUGUCAUCCGCACGGCCCCAUCCUUCUUCGGCAGCAGCGCCACAAAAGCAGUGUUUAGGGCAGCCAAAUUGCCACCGGCAAGAUGGUAGAAAUGGUGGAAAGCCGCCAUGAUGUCGGCGCUGAUGAUCGACCAACAGGCCCGGAAGAAGGUACUGCUGAAAUCGUUGGGGCCCGGCGCCUUCUCCGCCGGCGAUUGCAUGAUUGCCGCCCAGGCCUCACCUUCUGAGAAAGGGUUGUCCAAACCAGCUGCAGGAACCCUUGGUAGCUGCAACACGCUCCAGUUGAGGGUCACACGCCGCCCCGUGUCCGCUGCCAUCACCUUGCUGAAAUGAUCAUGGAUGAUCUGUGCUUUGUCCCCAUGAGUUGUGGCAAAAUUUUCGUCGCUCUGGAUGGUGUGGAUGAAAUUCUUGCGUCUUCUGGAGCAGCAUUUUGCAUGGAAGAACUUUGUACUGGCGUCGCCUGCUCGCAGCCAGAGCACCCUGGAUGCCUGUCUUCUUCUGGCCCUUUCAAUGGCCGCCAGACCCACCAGACGCAUCUUGAGCAGCUUGCGCAAGUUGAAUUCCGCGGUUGAAAGUGUUCUUGUCUCCUGCUCCACGUCCAGCCGGAGGAUUACCUCGCUGGCGAUGUGAAACUGCGCCUUUGCAUCGCUGAACAGCGAUCUGCUCCAGAUUUUCAGGUUGCGGGCAGUCCCGGUGAGCUUGACCUGCAGCCAUGCAAAAGCACAACGCUGCUGAACCGGGCGAUUCCAUGCACGCUCGACAGUAGUGUGAAAGUGCGGGAAUUGUGGCCAGAAGCUCUCGAAACGGAAACGAGCUCAACGGAUCGGGGCGUCGCAUGGCGCCAGGAUCAGCGGGCAGUGGUUGGAGCACGCUGUAGCAGAAGCCAUCAGAACGUAGGCGGGAAAGAGGAGCUCCCAGCUAACAUUGCAGAAGAAUUUAUCUAUACUAACCAGCGUGGGAUUUUGCCGUUCGUUACUCCAGGUGAACCGCCUAUUCUUACACUUAAUCUCCGGCAGCCCAGCCGCAUCUAUAGCCGCCCCAAACCUCCCCAUGAUACGCCGAUUCAGGUUGAAAUUGUUCUUAUCUCUAGCCUCGUAGAUAUUGUUGAGGUUGCCGGUGAGUAGCCAGGGAUCACUUGGGGGGGGGCUGAUCUAGCCAACUCAAGCAGGAACACGUCCUUCCGAGCCUUCGCCGGCCCAUAAACAGUGGUUAGCCAGAAAGUGGCGGCCGGUCGGAGGACGGUGACUUUAGCAGUGAUGGCGAAUUCACCAACAACAUGGGACACGAUCGAGACGAUCUGGUUAUCCCAGAGGAUGGCCACCCCGCCCCUGGAGCCAAUCGCAGGUAAAACUACACAAUCGGCUAACCUGCUCCCUCCUACGUCUCUAACUAGGGCCGGCGACCAGUUGUCGAUCUUUGUUUCCUGAAGGUAAAGGAUCGCUGGUCGAUGCGCCGCAACGGCUUCGCAGACAGUGUCUCGCUUGGCCGGCAUAUUGAGCCCACGCACAUUCCAGCUAACUAUGGGGCAGUGGUUGUCACCCAUAAGGAAACAUGAUCAUACUCCAACAGCUACUAGUUCCAUUGAUCGAAGAGACACACGAACACGACGACAAGCACACUCCACCACCUUUCGGGGGACGCUGAUGCCCACCAAUAGGCCCCAAAUAGCAGCAGCGCCGACUACCUCUAACAGCUAACCCUACAAGCAUUACAAGUGAGCCUAACUCAACCCCGCUUAAGGCCGGGCGCCAUUGGAGAUUACUACGACAUGGGACUAACAUGAUCAAACCGCGGCCUCCUCGACAACUCCAUCAGGACCGUCCAUGGAAGCCGCCACACGCAGCGCCUCCUUGCUGAGGCGGGUCAGCUUGGCGAUGCAGACAAUGUCGCCGUCAGUGAGCGGCUCAUCGAACUUGUGCAGCAGCUUCUCGACUGUCUUGGCGGUCAUCUUCUCCUUUGGACCAAGCAAGCCCAGCUUGCGCACCAGCCACAGGGUCCCUCGCUGCGAGACGGGCACGAAUGUCGGGUUUGCAGCUUGUCGGGCGCUGUGGCGAACAGGAGCAGGCACGACCCUAGUCUUGGGCGGGGCAGACGAUCGGCGCACCGACGCUUCAGGCACCAACGGCGGCUUGGUGGCUUGGAAGAGGCGCAGCGGGCUAGCGGCCGGGUCUGAAGCCUCGCUCUCUGCACCAAGCUGGAGGCAGCAGACCUGGUGGGUGACGGCGCCCAGCUGCAUCUCCGCCGCCGUGGGACGGGCCGGUUCCUUGCGACUGAGGUGGCCCACCGCGGCGCUUGGGCCGGCCAGGGUUGGGCCGAAGACGUCCGGCAAGCCCGUGGCCACCGCGUGGAUGCUGUUGACUUGGUCGUCGAACUCCAGAGGGGCCGAGACCACAGCCGCCACGUGGGCCUCCAGCUCAGCAGCCAUGCAGUCGAAGGGGGGUGGCUGCGAGAGAUGGUUCUUGGCGCCGGCGAAGAAGUCGGCGAUCGGGUCAGGGACUGGUGCAGCUUCAGCGGACGGCGGCGAGGGCAGGGGAUGCGGUGCCUGGAGUAGAGCGGCCCCCGCGCCCGCAGCAUGGCGGCGGCCUGAGUUGCAGCGGCCCCGCGAGCUCUCGGAGCGACGCUGCCCAGGGGGGAGCGGCUGCGGCGACGAGACGCGCCCUCCUGGUCGGCCACCUCCUUUCCGGCACGACUCCGGCCUAGGAGCGUGUCCUUCCAGGACCUGCGCCCACCCUGAUCUUCUCCGUCGUCGUCCUUGCGGCCACCACCUCCGCGAGGGGCGCCGUGGUACCCCAUGUCCGCAAGCGCAGCAAGCUGGCGACGGUGCUGCGGCUCACGCUGGCCAUCUUCCACCCCCUUCUUCCAGGAGCCGGCAGGGAUGAUCCGCGGCAUGGGCCUGUCGUCCUCGUCAGAGUCCGAUGAGGGCAGGCCGCUCUGCACAGAGCGAGGUGAUCGCGGCUCGUAGGGGGACCAGUCCUAUGCGGUCCACAUGGAUGAGGACAUCAUGGCGGCUUGCAGAAGGUGGCGCAGCGAAGACACGGCCGGGCGGAGAGAAGCCCAGCAUCUCCACGCGGCCCGCUCCCCGCUCCAUCAGCCAGAACGUGUGCUUGGUCGGGAUUAGGGCCACAUCCCAAACCCAGACCCAGCAGGCGAAGCUCUUGGCGUGGCUGCGCUCGAAAGUGCGAUUGUCGAGGCGGUCGACGCGGCAGCCGAGAGCCUCUUCGGCCCCCUCCACGGACAAGAAGUGCUGGGGCAUCUUCUCGAUGACCACCCGGACAUGGUAGUUGAAGGUCUGAACCACGGCGUGAUCGUCUUCGUGCCAGCGCUUGAUGAAGAACUUGGCGCCGUCGACCGUCAGGGAGCCCAGCUUGACGACUUGGUCUUGAUGGAUCGACAGAUCAAAGAUGAUGAGGUAGUCCUUCGGGUCGUGGCUGGUGAUCCACAGCAGGUGCAGAGGGAUGCGCAACCGAGCCUCGAGCUCCUGCCUGACCGCCAUGGCGCUGGAGGAUCGCCUCGCGUCCGCUGCCGUGAGCAACACCGCCUGGCGCUUCAGGACGAAGGUGGCGUGCUCCAGGGCGCGGGUGGACAUGACCACCUUGCAGCUUUGUCGCGGGCUGCGCGCGGGGUUGGCGACGUGGGUGCCCUCCAUGGCGAGGGGCGGCGACGGGGCGGGGGACGAAGGCACAGCAGCAGCAGCAGGGAAGCGAAGUCUAUCCCGCGCCGGCACCCGGGCGGUGGCUGCGGCGGGGUUGCGCUUGGGGUUUUGAGGGCACUCCCGGCCGAAGUGACCAGAGAGGUUGUAGAUGAUGCAGCAGAUUGGGUCGCGGCAAUCUUUCCUACAAUGCUUCUUGCUCAGGCAACGAAAGCACUUCCCCCGGAACUGGCUUAAGAAGGCAGCCCGGCCGGCAGCAGCAUUGAAGUCGCCUCGGCGGCCAUGAAGGGCCGAAGGGGGGCGCGGCCUAUUGCCCGCCAUGCCAGAGCUUGGGCGCCGGUCUUUCUGGGAUGAGACGUCGGUCCAUCCCCGCCCGCCUCUGCAGGGGAGGGAUUGAUGCCAGCAGCGGGUGCAACUACAAUGGAGUGAAGGCGUGGUCGCUCCAAAAACGGCAAGGAGGGAGGAUCCGCGGCUAGAUCCGCAGGGUGAAGCAGGGGCACAGCGGUGGAGCUCUCUCCACGAAGCAGGAUCUGCGGCGGAGAACCUGGAUCUCGCGCAUUGACUCCGCAAGACAGCUGCGAGUCCGGCACCAUGGACGGACCAGAGGACACAGGGGAGGCAGGCGAGACCGCGCGCAGGCUACCACUAGCGCUAGAUCUACGAGAACACGACCGUCCCAUACCGCCCAGCAGGCAGCAGCUGGUAGACGCCGCGGGUGGCAGCCGAGGCCGGAGCGACCCACGGUGCGGGGGGUGGCUGGCGCGGCCAAGUCGCAGCCGGGGAUGGGGUGGCCGCCGUGGCCGGAGUGGCCAGCGGCGCGGUGGGAGCGUGGGGCUAGAGCGUCCGCCACAGAAACAUAGUCAGUAAUUGGCACUUGGCUCUUAGUGAGGAUGAGAUUGAUCGUAGGGAACUUCUUUGGGCAGCUAUUGAUGCUUGUACGGACAUGUUAGUUUGAACUUCAAAGAAUAUAAGUUAUACCAUGAAAACAGUACCUGUGACAUUCACGUAACCUACCCAAAUGUUUCCUCUGUUUGUAAAUAGUCAAUGUGUACGUGCAUUGCACGUUAAUUUAGAAGUAUAUUAAGUGCAUGUUGAUAUUAAGUAGGAUAUUAUUUGCGUGUUAUUAUGUGAUUAGCACUAUAUUUGGCAUGGAAUUAACUGCACGCUAAACGUGUUGAGCGCUCGACAUUGAAGCAGUCUAGGUCGUUGGAUUGACAUGAUUUGAUGGCCGAGAUUAAUUGGAUCUGCCUCUUUGGGUCUUUUUAUAUUGGUAUAGAUGAGGUAUAUUUCUUGCCUCAAACAGAGCAUAUUUCCCAUUUUCUUACAAAAUAAGAGUCAUGUUCCUUGUAUGCCCUAUAUGUAUAUAUUCCUACAACAUACAUACAUACUACACUUAGGUGCAAUGUAGUCACUAUUUUCCUUAGACAUUCGGAGAAGUAAAGACAUAAAGAGGAACUCAUAUAUAUUUUCCAUAAAGAGGAAUGCCCUGCAAAAUUUUAAAAUGGUGAAACUUUUAUACAUGCUUGCUAGUAAUUCUGAGCCAAAUGCAAUAGAGAUGUAGAAUGUCACAUCUAUGACAUGAAUAAUUAUAACUUUAGUCAUUCAGAAUUUCAGUGCUAAAAGUAAUCUGAAUGUCAAAUACAGAAAGGUUUACCUCUGUCAUUGUAUGAACUUAUUUUGAGGGAUUUGAACAUUGAGAGAAUUCCUUAUUUGGCCCUUUCUUAAAAUCUGGUUCCCUAUUUGGCCCUAGAAAUUUCAUUUUUCCCUUUUUGACAUCAUAAAUUCAUUUUAUUCCUCCCAUGACACUUCUAUCACUUUUUGCUGUUAACACCAUCAAAUGUGACUUGAAAUGUCUUAUUUACCCCUGCUUUACCACGUCGGAAAAAAAAUGAAAAAUUUAGUUGCGGUGCGAGGCAUGGAGGAGGGCGCGGCGGCGCUGUGCAGGCCCAAGUCGCGGCACCGGAUGUCACGCCCCGAGACCCUCCAGUUGCUGCACCUCUCACUAGUGCAAAGGCCAAACAAACCUGUGGCCACCAUGCAAAGUCUCCACGUAGCCAUUUGAAUGUCCUAAGUAUUUCUAGAGUGUUGCCAGCACAUGCAUGUACAUCCCAUAAAUAUCAGGCCACAUAGCUAGCUAGCUACUUCAUGAUUAGUUUGUACUUCUAUUUACUUUGUACUACUGCUGAGUCAGACCGACAUGAGCCAGAGGAAAAACUCCACACCUAUUCUUCUCUUCUCACAAGUUCUCUAUAUAUUGGCAUGCGUACUACUUAGUUUCGGAGGAUUUCCUCCACCCGUGUACAUCUUCCCAUUAUCCAUGUACUAAUCUUGGUGUAGCAUAUCUUAUUUUCUUAAUUAUUUAUUUAAACAAAUAAUACAAAUUUAAUUAUCUAACUUAACUCAACAACUUAAAAUAAAUAUCCUUAAAAAUCAGGGUUAUUACACCGGAGGUCCGUUGGUGGCAGGGGCGUGCUAACUGGGUCGCCGUGGCUGCGUGCUUUCCAUGGUCCAGUGUGUACUCUUCGUGCGUGUGUGAUGUGAUGUGUGUGUUGUGUGCAAAUAGAGAAAUUGAGAGAUGGAUCUCUUCUACACGUUGUGCGUGAAGAGAGAAACCGUGAGAUUGUUGUGCAUGUCUGUACUGCUCGUACAUGUUAAUUAGUGCACUGGUUCUUAUUAAUAUGGGUUUCUCAGUACAAUCUUAUAAUAUAAUUUCGUUGCAAAUCCAAGGCACUGAAGCAUUCUGUCCACGCGCCUACAUCGCCAUAGCUUUUGACUUCCAGCUCAUAAUUUUAGUCACAAAAUACAUCAGGGGUAAAAUGGAUUUUUCAUGUUGCAUUUAAUGGUGUUAGUUGUCAAAACUGACGGAAAUGUCAUAAAGGGAACAAAAUGAAGUUUGAGUGUCAAAACAGGAAGAAUUUUUUUACCAGGGCCAAAAAAGGAACCAAAUUUUAAGGAAGGGCCAAAUAAGGUAUUCUCUCUUGAACAUUUGGUGAAAUUAAUUGAUGAUCAUAUACAUGGGAAACAUUUUGGCAGAACUACAGUUAGUGAUGAUUUUCCCUACGCAUGGCCUAUAGCAGAACUGUAAUCUAGCAUUAUCUAAAAUAAGAGACCAGCCUUGGACUAUUAUCUUCCCAUGGUACCACCAUGCUAAUGCUGAAAACAACGUCUAGUACAAUGAAUCUUGCUUUGAAUAUAACAGAACUACUACCCUGCAACUUUAUUCUAUACUGAAAAAUAAUUGUUGCAAUAGUUAAGCUUAUUCCAAAUCUUGUAAGGUACAAUGCACAUACAAAAGAAAGGGUAUACAAUUUGCAGGUCACUAAUCAUAUACUUGAUUCUUAACUUUGUGUUGGGUUUCUUCUAACAUUUCAUAAUACAGAUAGGCAAAUACAUGAUUUAUUUCUGCUACAUUUUCCAGAACAGCAGGAUUAUGGAUAGUUCCGAGAAGGCGCCUCCCGAUCAAGGCUAUUAAUACUCUUGUUGUACUUGUCAAGUCCGACAUCCUAGUGCUAUGUCUCGGCUGUAUGGGUGUCAAGGAAAUUUUCAACCUGGCCUGAUGGAUGCAAGUGUUUCCUACUCUCGUAUCUCUAUGGUGAUCAAGACUCAGCGAUCCAUGACACACAGAACUUUGGCUCACUGCUCUCACAAAAAGGGGUAAACAUGCAUGGCGUGCCAUAACUGGGUCUGGUUUGCAAGGAAGCAUUCUGUUGUCUGGCCAUUAUUAUUGUGGUCACCUAUACAAAUCGAACUGAUCUGACAUGCUCAUCCUCCAUUCAUGGGUGAUUGUUGUCAUUAGCUCCACUCUUAUCACCUUACCAAAUCUGAAGCCUCGCUUCUCUCCUGGAUGUGCAUGUUGGUGGAUGGAUGUAUGCAUUCAGCAAAGCACAGAGGCAGAAGUCCACCAGUCCAAUCUUCAUCCUUGACUCUCAAAAAUCUGCAUAGGCACAACUCCAUUAUGCAUUACAAUAUGACACCAUGCUUUAGCCUCAUCAAUCUUUGUAAAGUUUGUGGAUGGACAUUUAGUUUGUUUUGAUAACUAAAGGGGAAAACCUUUGGCCAGAGCUGGACAUGAGAGCAAAGCGAGGGAUAAAGGAUUGCAUGGCAGUGCACUAUGUCUUAAAGUCCCUGGCAACAUCUGUUGUGCUAAUGAAAACUGGUGUCCUCAACCAAAUUGAGGGCCACAAAUUUUAUUCAGUACUCCAGCUAGGUAUUGCUAAUCAUGGUCCCCGGUCCCGUAGUGGAUGGAGCACCAAUUUUUUGGGAGUUGGAUCAAUCACAUCAGAUUCAAUCGGCAAUCGCUAAAUAGUAGUAAAGCUUGAAGUGAACUUACCUGAAGUUUUGGCAAGAAUUAAUCUG
Molecule: long non-coding RNA, 11588 nt
Filed under: Triticum aestivum (bread wheat)
Lineage: Eukaryota; Viridiplantae; Streptophyta; Magnoliopsida; Poales; Poaceae
Description: long non-coding RNA (TAES_LNC021065)
Rfam family: MIR1120/MIR1122 microRNA precursor family (bases 1234-1320)
Source: RNAcentral